Myotis davidii is the source of this 103-nucleotide non-coding RNA. The record is from Rfam. Lineage: Eukaryota; Metazoa; Chordata; Mammalia; Chiroptera; Vespertilionidae.
GUUCACAUCAGCAGCACGUGUACUAAAAUUGGAAGGAAACAGAAGAUUAGCAUGGCCCCUGUGCAAGGAUGACACUCAAAUUCGUAAAGUGUUUCAUAUUUAA